ACCCAUGAUGACAACUUGGGUUACAACUGAAAGCAAAUUGUUAGAUUUGUAUAAGUGUUGAUAAUCAUUGAACUAGGACAGUCUAAGGC
RNAcentral lists this small nucleolar RNA (89 nucleotides) under Cephalotus follicularis. Its description in RNAcentral is "Small nucleolar RNA snoR20a". It matches the Rfam family "Small nucleolar RNA snoR20a". From Rfam's summary of the family: The O.sativum sequence was obtained from the plant snoRNA database. Lineage: Eukaryota; Viridiplantae; Streptophyta; Magnoliopsida; Oxalidales; Cephalotaceae. The record is from Rfam by way of RNAcentral.